GUACAACGCUUACCACUAUGAAUUACACAAACAUUACAAGAAAUUUGAUUCGCAUGAGGAGGCAUUAGCUGGUCGGAAGGAAUGGGUGGAGCCACACGUAUGGGAGUGGCUAUGUGAAAUGUGGGCCAGCCCCAAAUUCAAGGAGCAAUCUCGUAGGAACAGUAACAACAGGAAAAAACAGAAGAUUAAACAUACAAGUGGGAGGAAAUCAUUUGUUAGGCUUAUGGAAGAGAGGGGUGAGGAGGCUUGUAAUAUGAUAGAGUUUUACAAAGAAACACACUGGUCCAAUAAGAAGGGUAAAUGGAU
Carya illinoinensis is the source of this 306-nucleotide long non-coding RNA. RefSeq lists it as uncharacterized. The record is from RefSeq and is a predicted model, not a curated record. The transcript is spliced from 3 exons. Lineage: Eukaryota; Viridiplantae; Streptophyta; Magnoliopsida; Fagales; Juglandaceae.